This 283-nucleotide ribosomal RNA is filed under the name uncultured bacterium. RNAcentral describes it as "partial 16S ribosomal RNA". It matches the Rfam family "Bacterial small subunit ribosomal RNA", at positions 226 to 507 of the family's 1533-position model. The record is from RNAcentral.
UAGGCUUGCGUCUGAUUAGCUAGUUGGUGUGGUAACGGCACACCAAGGCUACGAUCAGUAACUGGUCUGAGAGGAUGAUCAGUCACACUGGAACUGAGACACGGUCCAGACUCCUACGGGAGGCAGCAGUGAGGAAUAUUGGGCAAUGCUCGAAAGAGUGACCCAGCAACGCCGCGUGGAGGAUGAAGGUAUUCUAUAUCGUAAACUCCUGUGAGAGCAGACGAAAGACAGAUUAUUAAUCUGGAUGACUGUAUGCUCAGAGGAAGCCCCGGCUAACUACGUG